UACGGAGGGUGCAAGCGUUGUUCGGAAUUAUUGGGCGUAAAGCGCGUGUAGGCGGCUUUGCAAGUCAGGUGUGAAAGCCCUCGGCUUAACCGAGGAAGUGCGCCUGAAACUGCUUGGCUUGAGUACCGGAGAGGGCGGUGGAAUUCCCGGUGUAGAGGUGAAAUUCGUAGAUAUCGGGAGGAACACCAGCGGCGAAGGCGACCGCCUGGACGGCUACUGACGCUGAGACGCGAAAGCGUGGGGAGCAAACAGG
This 253-nucleotide ribosomal RNA is filed under the name uncultured bacterium. RNAcentral describes it as "partial 16S ribosomal RNA". It matches the Rfam family "Bacterial small subunit ribosomal RNA", at positions 524 to 776 of the family's 1533-position model. The record is from RNAcentral.